GUCGCGACGCCUGAAGGAGUCCCCACCGCAGCCGUGCUCUUGGUCCACCUCAUCCAGCAGCCACCAGCCCCUGCUCUAGAGACGUCCCUGCCGCCGAUUCGGCGGCAGGGACCGUGGCAAUCGCUCCUAUAGUCGGGCCUGGAGGACAUUUAUUGCUCCAGACCCUGUCCCUCUUUGCUUCCCAGACGGCUGGAGUCAUUCCCGGGGGAAGCAGUUCCGAGCCGAUCAAGCAGCCGCACGGGCAUCUCAGUGGCCAGCCCGUCUGGGAACCGGGCAUCUGCAAAGCCAGCCCCGCCGGACACUGGGCAUCUCACGCAACGCUGUCUUCUUCGGCCGCCGCCCAGCUUGUCGCAAGUCCUGGGCGGUGGGCUUCUGAGCACCUUUGGGGCUCUCCAGGACCCAAGUGAGCUCCCUACGGCUCCCAGCCUUUUGGGCCGCCGCGAUGCUACCCUGGAGACGGAACAAAUUCGUGCUAGUGGAGGAUGAGGCCAAGCGCAAGGCGAAGAGCCUGAGCCCCGGGCUCGCCUACACGUCGCUGCUCUCCAGCUUCCUGCGCUCCUGCCCGGACCUGCUACCGGACUGGCCUCUGGAGCGUCUGGGCCGCGUAUUCCGCAGCCGGCGCC
Molecule: long non-coding RNA, 623 nt
Filed under: Rattus norvegicus (Norway rat)
Lineage: Eukaryota; Metazoa; Chordata; Mammalia; Rodentia; Muridae
Description: long non-coding RNA NONRATT023755
Source: RNAcentral